RNAcentral lists this ribosomal RNA (472 nucleotides) under uncultured bacterium. Its description in RNAcentral is "SSU rRNA". It matches the Rfam family "Bacterial small subunit ribosomal RNA", at positions 26 to 518 of the family's 1533-position model. The record is from RNAcentral.
AGGACGAACGCUGGCGGCGUGCUUAACACAUGCAAGUCGAACGGAAAGGCCCUUCGGGGUACUCGAGUGGCGAACGGGUGAGUAACACGUGGGUGAUCUGCCCUGCACUUUGGGAUAAGCCUGGGAAACUGGGUCUAAUACCGAAUAGGACCACGGGAUGCAUGUCCUGUGGUGGAAAGCUUUUGCGGUGUGGGAUGGGCCCGCGGCCUAUCAGCUUGUUGGUGGGGUGAUGGCCUACCAAGGCGACGACGGGUAGCCGGCCCUGAGAGGGUGUCCGGCCACACUGGGACUGAGAUACGGCCCAGACUCCUACGGGAGGCAGCAGUGGGGAAUAUUGCACAAUGGGCGCAAGCCUGAUGCAGCGACGCCGCGUGGGGGAUGACGGCCUUCGGUUGUAACCCUUUCAGUAGGACGAAGCGCAAGUGACGGUACCUACAGAAGAAGCACCGGCCAACUACGUGCCAGCAGCCGC